RNAcentral lists this unclassified non-coding RNA (619 nucleotides) under Radix auricularia. RNAcentral's name for it is "sequence contains ITS1". The record is from RNAcentral. Lineage: Eukaryota; Metazoa; Mollusca; Gastropoda; Lymnaeidae.
GGAUCAUUAACGCAUGAUUUCUCAAGCAGCUGCNUGCUGUUGUGAAACGCACGCACACGUCCUAUCGAAACAGUAACGAUAUACAUUUUUUGCCCGCGUGCGGCGGCGGCAUGAAGCCAACGCCACGCGGGUCCGUCCGCUCCAAUAUUUUCGGGGUACCUAACCAUUUUUUUAUUGUCCUCGAUGCGACCCACGGUGACGGCUUAGAGCCCGAGUGCUCGCCGGGUCGCCAUGGUUCAAAGAGUGGCCUUGCUCUCUUACGGCCACCGCCCCGACCGACCGACGUCUUGUCCGAUAAGAGAAGCCCGGGGUACCUGUGCCCUUGUUUGCUCGAUCCUGCUCGCUGGGAGGCACGCUCUCGCCAUCCUUGGGUCGGCUCGCUUGGGCGGGAGCUCCAGAUCUUUUUGGCCGCGACGGUUCAAAGAGCCGACCGUGCUCGUGUCGGUCGCCGCCCCGGGUCUCUCUCAUUUUUUUCAAUAUACAAAACAAAAAUUUUAAUGUUGGCCGGAAAAGAGAAAAGCGGUUGCGUGCUCGCACCACUUUUUUUUAUUGUCAUUCGUGACAAAAAAAAUGUACGUAUAACUUUGAGCGGUGGAUCACUCGGCUCGUGCGUCGAUGA